This 1349-nucleotide unclassified non-coding RNA is filed under the name uncultured Neocallimastigales. RNAcentral's name for it is "partial contains internal transcribed spacer 1, 5.8S ribosomal RNA, internal transcribed spacer 2, and large subunit ribosomal RNA". The stretch from base 591 to 1349 matches the Rfam family "Eukaryotic large subunit ribosomal RNA", at positions 1 to 619 of the family's 3401-position model. Lineage: Eukaryota; Fungi; Neocallimastigomycota; Neocallimastigomycetes; Neocallimastigales. The record is from RNAcentral.
AAAAUAAUCCUACCCUUUGUGAAUUUUGUUUGUUUGAAUAAUUUUUUUUUUUAAAAAAUUAUUGGAGUCUUUCCCUUUAGAGUUUGCUUUUGAGUUUGUAAAAGAAUUCGAAAACAUCUAAAGGGGAUGGUCAAUAAUUUUUUUUGAAAAAAGACAUUUUUUAAAAUUAAACUUUUUGUAUUCAUUUGUCUAAAAAUUAUUUUUAUAAUAUAAAACAACUUUUGACAAUGGAUCUCUUGGUUCUCGCAACGAUGAAGAACGCAGCAAAAUGCGAUAAGUAGUGUGAAUUGCAAAUACGUGAACCAUCGAAUCUUUGAACGCAUAUUGCACUUUUUUAGUUUACUAAAAAGUAUGUCUGUUUGAGUAUCAGUAAAUUAUUCUCAUAAAAAUCAUUGUGUAUUUUUAUGGUUAUGAGUGUUUUACAACGAUACAAGUUGUUUCACUUUAAAUUUUUUUUUAAUAUUGAAUUUUUCUAAUUUUAAUAAUUAAAAUUGGAUAAAAUUUUCCCGUCAAAAGGAAUAACCUAAACAAUUUUAAAUGAUUAAUUUUAGCAAAAUUUUCGAAAAAAGGAAAUUUUUAUUAAAAUAACUUGAUCUCAAAUCAGAUAAGAGUACCCGCUGAACUUAAGCAUAUCAAUAAGCGGAGGAAAGAAACUAACAAGGAUUCCUUAGUAACGGCGAGUGAAGCGGGAAGAGCUCAAAUUUGAAAUCUUCAAGGUUUUACCUUGACGAAUUGUAGUUUAAAGAAGUGUUUUCUGCUGAAGUUUUGGUAAAAGUUCUUUGGAAUAGGACAUCAUAGAGGGUGAGAAUCCCGUAUUUGACCAUUAUUUUCAGCUUUGUGAUAAUAACACUUUCAAAGAGUCGGAUUGUUUGGGAAUGCAGUCCAAAAUGGGUGGUAGAUUUCAUCUAAAGCUAAAUAUUGGCGAGAGACCGAUAGCGAACAAGUACGUGAGGGAAAGAUGAAAAGAACUUUGAAAAGAGAGUUAAACAGUACGUGAAAUUGUCAAAAGGGAAGCGUUUGACACCAGUGUUGUUUCCUCGAAAAUCAAUUAAAAAUGGCUCGAUUUGUAUUGCUGAGACCUUAAAAGCUCACUGUACAUUUUUCGUGUCUUUUUUAAUGCACUUUUCGUUUAACAAGUCAACAUCAGUUUCUUUUGUUGUAAAAGGGUCAUUGGAAGGUGGCUUUCUUUUCGGAGAAAGUGUUUAUAGCCUUUGGCCUCUGCAAUCGGAGAGACUGAGGUCUGCAGCGUAGACUCUUCGGGUUAGAUACAUUUGUGCUAAGUUAUAGCUUUUUAUAGACAACUUGUUGACUAUAAUUAGUCUUGUAGCUUACUCGCCUAUGCUAUUUUA